CAAGCCUGAUCCAGCAAUGCCGCGUGCAGGACGAAGGCCCUCGGGUUGUAAACUGCUUUUGUACAGAACGAAAAGAGCUGGGUUAAUACCCUGGUUUUAUGACGGUACUGUAAGAAUAAGCACCGGCUAACUACGUGCCAGCAGCCGCGGUAAUACGUAGGGUGCGAGCGUUAAUCGGAAUUACUUGGGCGUAAAGCGUGCGCAGGCGGCGAUGCAAGACCCGAUGUGAAAUCCCUGGGCUCAACCUGGGAACUGCAUUAGUGACUGCAUUGCUGGAGUGCGGCAGAGGGGGAUGGAAUUCCGCGUGUAGCAGUGAAAUGCGUAGAUAUGCGGAGC
This 336-nucleotide ribosomal RNA is filed under the name Lampropedia hyalina. RNAcentral's name for it is "bacterial SSU rRNA". It matches the Rfam family "Bacterial small subunit ribosomal RNA", at positions 378 to 704 of the family's 1533-position model. Lineage: Bacteria; Pseudomonadati; Pseudomonadota; Betaproteobacteria; Burkholderiales; Comamonadaceae. The record is from RNAcentral.